Molecule: long non-coding RNA, 287 nt
Organism: Cimex lectularius (bed bug)
Lineage: Eukaryota; Metazoa; Arthropoda; Insecta; Hemiptera; Cimicidae
Exons: 3
Source: RefSeq, a predicted model, not a curated record
CUCAUGUGCCCGACAAAACCGUCUGCAAAUCGAACGGCAGUCCCUGUUUUCCAACGACCCGAGACUUGCGCACACCACCCCGAGCAAGUACACGUUUAUCUGAUUUGCUGUAUCAAUUGCUUGGAUUUGUGGGAAAGACAGUAACUUACCGUACACGUUGAUUUGAUUUGCUGUAUCAAUUGCUUGGAUUUAUGAGAAGGACAACCGAGUUGGUUGUCAUAUCGUGAUAUCAACUGAUGAACAACACUGAAAAACCAAUAAAAAAUAAUAAUAAAUAAUUCGAGACA